GCGCAGCAGGCGCGAAACCUUCGCAAUGCAGGAAACUGCGACGAGGGAACUCCAAGUGCCUACGCUCAGCGUAGGCUGUCCUCAAGCCUAGAAAGCUUGAGGAGUAAGGGCUGGGUAAGACGGGUGCCAUCUGUGGUACCAGUCAAUAGAUUCGAUUUGUUACUGCAAGGCAUAAGCCGCCGCGGUAAUACCCGCAGCCCAAGUGGUGGCCGCUUUUAUUGGGCCUAAAGCGUCCGUAGCCGGCCCGGUAAAUGCCUGGGUAAAUCGUGGAGCCCAACUUCACGAAUUCCGGGUAGACUGCCGAGCUCGGGACCGGAGGAGGGAGAGGGUACUUCGAGGGGUAGGGUGAAAAUUUCCUUUCCGAUUUAACGCUUUUGCGCGGAAGCGGAAAGGGUUAUCACGAAUCCUGUAAUCCCGUGGAGGACCACCC
RNAcentral lists this ribosomal RNA (430 nucleotides) under uncultured microorganism. Its description in RNAcentral is "bacterial SSU rRNA". It matches the Rfam family "Archaeal small subunit ribosomal RNA", at positions 330 to 662 of the family's 1478-position model. The record is from RNAcentral.